This 579-nucleotide long non-coding RNA is filed under the name Olea europaea subsp. europaea. The record is from RNAcentral. Lineage: Eukaryota; Viridiplantae; Streptophyta; Magnoliopsida; Lamiales; Oleaceae.
CUUGAUUAAAACCUCAGGCGUACUUCAAAAGUCUAUAGUCCCUUUGAAACAAAUAACACAUUUGAUGCUAUUAUACUCACAAUCAAGUAUCAUAUCCAAAAAUAUAACAUCCCUUUUUUUUUUCUUUUUUUUUUAUGGGAACAUCCCCUCUACUCCAAUGCAAAAGAAUGUGUGCAAAACAUGCCGUGACUCCAUAACUUGUGAUUUCCAUUCACAAUCUGGUUGUGCAAAUUUGAUCUUCUCUACUAACUUGCAAAUUCCACUGCAAGUCCAAUCGAAAGAAGCAAUACAUACAUUGCCGGCUUGUGCUUUCCAUUCACAAUUUGGUUUUAUUGAGAAAAAGAUAAAUUUUGGCCAAACAGAAAUUGCACAAAUUAUCAACUAAUAGCCCCCAAAACUGUGGCAAUGCCAGGCUGCUCUGAUAAGAUUUCCAAAUUCCAAAGACAAAAAAUUUUCAAGCCUGUGCAUUAACUAGUUAUACCAAACCUGGAACGACCAAAAGGACCUUAUCCAAAAUUCUUCCAUAAAAAAAUAAUUUUCAAGAUUCUAUUGCACAAUCCUCAUUGUCAAAACUACUAA